AAAUUUUUAAAAAAAUGUAAACUCAGAUUUCAUGAUGUAAUGUUAUAUGGUGAUGUAAUAAUUUCGUCUCCUGUCUCUCAGCUGCUGCUCGCCGUCGUCGUCUUGUCCUGGUCGUACGUGAUCUACGCCAGCAGGGUCGCAGCUCAUUGGCUGCUGGAGGAGAGGCCCGCCCUCCUGCAGCAGCACUGACAGCUCAUUGGUCGGCUCGUACAGGCUGACGGAUCCGGACUCUCAGAGACCCGAGCCUCCGACUCGGACCUGAACCAGGACCUGUGACGACCCACCGGAGACAACGAGACAUGAAGACACGAGACAAGGAUUCCUGGGGACGCUCUGUGCGUCGUCAUCUCGUCCACACGGAGAUCGAUCAGUUCCCACAAACAAACAAAUCUGCACAAAAAAGCUCCGAAUAAAAUAACUGAAGUCAGAGAGAAACGGAGAGCGUCGAGGAAAACCCAACUCACGCAGACGUCUGCAGGACAAACAAUAAUCGGAGGACACGCGGCCGCAGACGGCUGCGUUCGGGAGUAUGUUGUGUGGUAUUUGUACUUUAUUUUGAUUUGUCUAAUGUGUGGUAUUUGUACUUUAUUUUGAUGUAUUUGAUGCGUUUUUAUAUUAAAGAGAUUUUGCAGAUA
Non-coding RNA from Plectropomus leopardus (leopard coralgrouper), 635 nucleotides. The record is from RefSeq and is a predicted model, not a curated record. NCBI's taxonomy places the organism in Eukaryota, Metazoa, Chordata, Actinopteri, Perciformes, Serranidae.